Molecule: long non-coding RNA, 618 nt
Organism: Hemicordylus capensis (graceful crag lizard)
Lineage: Eukaryota; Metazoa; Chordata; Lepidosauria; Squamata; Cordylidae
Exons: 3
Source: RefSeq, a predicted model, not a curated record
UCAAACACUGCUGUCGCCUGCAAACAGAAACGACAAACUGAGAUCUGCUGGAGAGUGAUCAGCCACCCCUCCCCUCAAGAGUUAACUGGAAUGAACCCUGUCCUUACUGACAGGCUGGUGAACUCCAGCGUUCAGCCAAUUAGCACAACAGGUGGAUGGGACCUAGAGAGCUCUUGGGAGGAAGAAGGCAGUUCUUUGUUUGAGAAGAGAAGGACAUAUGGCAAGGAAGAAUGGCUGCAGGAAGAUGACACUGCAAGUCCUGGAAAGCCAAGAGGGCAGGAGACUUGAAUUCUCAACCAGGGUUUGCUGCAUGGAUCCCCAGAAAGGCUGCUCCUGUGGAUUGAAGGGAUGUCCGGAAAAAUAUGGGCUACUGAGAGGAGCCUGCAGCAGGAAGGGGAAAUUAGCCAAAAUCAGGCAGAGGCACUUUGCAUGAGUGAUGCCCAGCUUCCCCUGCAGCCCACCAUACUACCUUCUACACUGUUCUGGAGAACCCCUGAUUCUCAAUUUAAUCUGUCUAGAGGUCACAGGGGAAGAAGGGUUGGAAAAGUGUCCAUCCGCUCAUACUUCUCUGAAUUCAACUCACUAUCUUUCAGGUUAACUUAUUUUACAGGGUUGUUG